GUGAGGAAUUUUCCGCAAUGGGCGAAAGCCUGACGGAGCAAUGCCGCGUGAAGGAUGAAGGCCUAUGGGUUGUAAACUUCUUUUCUCAGAAAAGAAUUAUGACGGUAUCUGAGGAAUAAGCAUCGGCUAACUCUGUGCCAGCAGCCGCGGUAAGACAGAGGAUGCAAGCGUUAUCCGGAAUGAUUGGGCGUAAAGCGUCUGUAGGUUGUUUAAAAGGUAUUCUGUCAAAGAUUAGGGCUUAACCCUAGAUAGGCAGAAUAAACUUUUAAGCUAGAGUUUGGUAGAGGCAGAGGGAAUUCCCGGUGGAGCGGUGAAAUGCGUAGAUAUCGGGAGGAACACCAAAGGCGAAGGCACUCUGCUGGGCCAAUACUAACACUGAGAGACGAAAGCGAGGGGAGCAAAUGGGAUUAGAUACCCUUGUAGUCC
RNAcentral lists this ribosomal RNA (426 nucleotides) under uncultured bacterium. Its description in RNAcentral is "partial 16S ribosomal RNA". It matches the Rfam family "Bacterial small subunit ribosomal RNA", at positions 354 to 796 of the family's 1533-position model. The record is from RNAcentral.